RNAcentral lists this ribosomal RNA (279 nucleotides) under uncultured bacterium. Its description in RNAcentral is "partial 16S ribosomal RNA". It matches the Rfam family "Bacterial small subunit ribosomal RNA", at positions 506 to 784 of the family's 1533-position model. The record is from RNAcentral.
UGCCAGCCGCCGCGGUAAUACGGGGGGUGCGAGCGUUAAUCGGAAUUACUGGGCGUAAAGCGCGCGUAGGCGGCUAGGUCAGUCGGAUGUGAAAGCCCUGGGCUUAACCUGGGAACUGCAUUCGAUACUGUCUAGCUAGAGUAUGGUAGAGGGAAGCGGAAUUCCGGGUGUAGCGGUGGAAUGCGUAGAUAUCAGGAAGAACACCCGUGGCGAAGGCGGUUAGCUGGGCCGAAUCUGACACUCAUCCGCGAAAGCGUGGGGAGCAAACAGGAUUAGAUA